GGCUCAGGAUGAACGCUAGCGGCAGGCUUAACACAUGCAAGUCGAGGGGCAGCAUAAUGAAACAGCAAUGUGGAUUUGAUGGCGACCGGCGCACGGGUGCGUAACGCGUAUGCAACCUACCCAUAACAGGGGGAUAACACUGAGAAAUUGGUACUAAUACCCCAUAAUACUUUGGAAGGCAUCCUUUUGAGUUGAAAGUUCCGGCGGUUUAAGAUGGACAUGCGUUGUAUUAGUUAGUUGGUGAGGUAACGGCUCACCAAGACGACGAUACAUAGGGGGACUGAGAGGUUAACCCCCCACAUUGGUACUGAGACACGGACCAGACUCCUACGGGAGGCAGCAGUGAGGAAUAUUGGUCAAUGGGCGGAAGCCUGAACCAGCCAAGUAGCGUGAAGGAUUACUGCCCUACGGGUUUUAAACUUCUUUUAUGCGAGAGUAAUGUGCGCUACGUGUAGCGUAUUGCAAGUAUCGCAUGAAUAAGCAUCGGCUAACUCCGUG
Molecule: ribosomal RNA, 498 nt
Filed under: uncultured bacterium
Lineage: Bacteria
Description: bacterial SSU rRNA
Rfam family: Bacterial small subunit ribosomal RNA
Source: RNAcentral